This 227-nucleotide ribosomal RNA is filed under the name uncultured bacterium. Its description in RNAcentral is "partial 16S ribosomal RNA". It matches the Rfam family "Bacterial small subunit ribosomal RNA", at positions 108 to 334 of the family's 1533-position model. The record is from RNAcentral.
GAGUAACGCGUGGGUAACCUGCCUUACACGUGGGGAUAACAGUUAGAAAUGACUGCUAAUACCGCAUAAGCGCACGAGGGCCGCAUGGUCUGGUGUGAAAAACUCCGGUGGUGUAAGAUGGACCCGCGUCUGAUUAGGUAGUUGGUGGGGUAACGGCCCACCAAGCCGACGAUCAGUAGCCGACCUGAGAGGGUGACCGGCCACAUUGGGACUGAGACACGGCCCAA